UUUCAAAUCUUUAAGAGCAAACGGUGGAUGCCUUGGCAUCUGGAGCCGAAGAAGGACGUAGCAAUCUGCGAUAAGCCUCGGGGAACUGAUAAGCAAGUUUUGAUCCGAGGGUGUCCGAAUGGGGAAACCCCGCUGGGCGGCGUGCCGACCUAGUGACUCCCGCCUGAAUAUAUAGGGCGGGUAGAGGGAACGUGGGGAAGUGAAACAUCUCAGUACCCACAGGAAGAGAAAGCAACCGCGAUUCCGUUAGUAGUGGCGAGCGAAACCGGAACAGGCUAAACCGAGUACGUGUGAUAUCCGGCAGGAGUUGCGUAUUCGGGGUUGUGGGACUUUUCAGACAGUUCUGCCGAUCUGUCGGCGUUACAAGAAGGUAUAGACGAACCGCAUUGAAAGGCGGGUCAUAGAGGGUGCCAACCCCGUAGUCGAAAUGCCUCUCUUGACGCGAAGAGUAUCCCAAGUAGCACGGGGCCCGAGAAAUCCCGUGUGAAUCUGUCAGGACCACCUGAUAAGCCUAAAUACUCCCAGAUGACCGAUAGCGGACAAGUACCGUGAGGGAAAGGUGAAAAGUACCCCGGGAGGGGAGUGAAAUAGUACCUGAAACCGUUUGCUUACAAACCGUUGGAGCCUCCUUAGUAGGGGUGACAGCGUGCCUUUUGAAGAAUGAGCCUGCGAGUUAGCGAUAUGUGGCGAGGUUAACCCGUGUGGGGUAGCCGUAGCGAAAGCGAGUCUGAAUAGGGCGAUUCAGUCGCAUGUCCUAGACCCGAAGCGAAGUGAUCUAUCCAUGGCCAGGUUGAAGCGACGGUAAGACGUCGUGGAGGACCGAACCCACUUAGGUUGAAAACUGAGGGGAUGAGCUGUGGAUAGGGGUGAAAGGCCAAUCAAACUUCGUGAUAGCUGGUUCUCUCCGAAAUGCAUUUAGGUGCAGCGUUGCGUGUUUCUUGCCGGAGGUAGAGCUACUGGAUGGCCGAUGGGCCCUACAAGGUUACUGACGUCAGCCAAACUCCGAAUGCCGGUAAGUGAGAGCGCAGCAGUGAGACUGUGGGGGAUAAGCUUCAUAGUCGAGAGGGAAACAACCCAGACCACCAUCUAAGGUCCCAAAGCGCGUGCUAAGUGGGAAAGGAUGUGGAGUUGCUUUGACAACCAGGAGGUUGGCUUAGAAGCAGCCACCCUUGAAAGAGUGCGUAAUAGCUCACUGGUCAAGUGAUUCCGCGCCGACAAUGUAACGGGGCUCAAGCACGCCACCGAAGCUGUGGCAUUGACAUUAUUGGUAGGCCUUCGUGGUCCAGCCGUGUUGAUGGGUAGGAGAGCGUCGUGUGGCCAGCGAAGCGGCGGUGUGAACCAGCCGUGGAGGCUACACGAGUGAGAAUGCAGGCAUGAGUAGCGAAAGACGUGUGAGAAACACGUCCUCCGAAAGACCAAGGGUUCCAGGGUCAAGCUAAUCUUCCCUGGGUAAGUCGGGACCUAAGGCGAGGCCGACAGGCGUAGUCGAUGGACAACGGGUUGAUAUUCCCGUACCGGCGAAGAACCGCCCAAGCUAAUCCAGUGGUGCUAAGAGUCCUAACCCGGCUGAGUGGAUCCCUUCGGGGUGAAGCCGGCCGGUCUAACGCUCGACCCCGUUCUGGUGCGGCUAGCGUAUUAACAGGUGUGACGCAGGAAGGUAGCCCAACCCGGGCGAUGGUUGUCCCGGGGCAAGUGCGUAGGCCGAGAGAUAGGCAAAUCCGUCUCUCACAUAGGCUGAGACACGAUGCGGAUAAAAAGUGGGUGAUCCUAUGCUGCCAAGAAAAGCAUCGACGCGAGGUUCAAGCCGCCCGUACCCCAAACCGACUCAGGUGGUCAGGUAGAGAAUACCAAGGAGAUCGAGAGAAUCGUGGUUAAGGAACUCGGCAAAAUGCCCCCGUAACUUCGGGAGAAGGGGGGCCUUCCGCUUAUUAGGAUUUACUCCGAAAGGGCGUGGAGGCCGCAGAGACUAGUGGGUAGCGACUGUUUACUAAAAACACAGGUCCGUGCCAAGUCGCAAGACGAUGUAUACGGACUGACGCCUGCCCGGUGCUGGAAGGUUAAGAGGACCGGUUAGCCGCAAGGCGAAGCUGAGAAUUUAAGCCCCAGUAAACGGCGGUGGUAACUAUAACCAUCCUAAGGUAGCGAAAUUCCUUGUCGGGUAAGUUCCGACC
RNAcentral lists this non-coding RNA (2171 nucleotides) under Microbacterium oleivorans. RNAcentral's name for it is "Bacterial large subunit ribosomal RNA". It matches the Rfam family "Bacterial large subunit ribosomal RNA", at positions 1 to 1988 of the family's 2925-position model. The record is from Rfam by way of RNAcentral. Lineage: Bacteria; Bacillati; Actinomycetota; Actinomycetes; Micrococcales; Microbacteriaceae.